CCAGCGAGGGUCACAUAUGGCUCAUUUGAGCAACGCUUGUACGGAACAGGCGUUACCGAUGGCAAAGUGUCGAUGACUAAAGUGCAUGGACGCUUGUACAGAUGUUCAGUCAGAGGUGCAAUUCUGAAGGACACUCUCCACUAACAUACAUGGACUUGAGCGACGUUCAAGAAAAUUCUGUCACGCCAACUUCUGCAGCAUGACUGUUCUCCCGAACUGAAAGACCUCCCUUGUAUGUCAAGUGAGUCAUUGUUACAGAACAUGAUCACUCUUUGUUGAAAAUAGGAGAAAUGCUGUCACGCUGUCUCUGCUGCAGCGUCAAAAAUCGCAGACCAAUCCAAGAUGUGCCGCCUCCACCUACUUGGCAACCUUAUUCUCACCGUAUGAUUCAUUCCAGUGUUUCAUGGCCUUGCAUUGAACGUGUUGUACUUUAACGCUGGUAAAAUUAAGACAUUCAUCAUGCAGUGAAUGAAGCUGGGCAUCCGGACCCUGAAUUUCCCAUCGGGAGUCCCACACAGCCCGCCAAGUAUACAACGAUGCAAUGGCAGACGAGGGAAAUGAAUGAGCGUCUACUUCAGCCAGUGGGGCAGUCAGCCCAGCUGUCUCAGUCCCAGCGAAUAAGGCAACCAGACGCACAAACUUCACAGUAUGCUGUGCGUAUCCCAAGCAGAAAUCAACCAGAUGAGUGGCCCCUCCCCCGUACUGCUGCAGUGUAUAUCCUGCACAUGAUGCCAACAUCUUGCAGCGGAGCAGAUGCUUUGCACAUCGGUCACAGGUCUUAGGGUGUUAAUAGGUGCUUCUCGAGGGCUGUCUCAGGAGAUCUCCCCACACCGGAACUCAAGUGCUCAGAAUGGUGGAUACCAUGAAGCUUAUUCAGGAGCACCACACCGUGCGGCUUGACCUCAUAUUGGCCAAGUUAACAACGGCACCAACGGAAGGGCCUGCAGAAAAUGACAUCUUCAGGGAGCCAUUCUAAUAUCGUCAAGAACUUCUGCGAUUCGAUGUCUCUCUUUAUCAUCACAAAGGCUAUAAUUGGUACGUUCUGCACAAUCCACGCGCAUUGUCUACAUGUAUUUUGGAUAAGGUUGUGCGUAAAGUUCUGUUUUCGUCAGUUGAGUAUCUCAUGGCUUUUCUUAAUGAUGCGCGAGCACGUUCUUCUGAGAUGUGGGGGCACUGACGAAAGAGACAUCACUAGACUGCUUUGUGUGAACUUAUGUCAGAUGAUGUAGCACAGAACUUCAGCUACAAAGGUCGUAAAGGGAAAAAAAAGAACUUAAGCGCCCUCAAUCUGGGGCAAGAUUGUCAUUCGUAUGUACUUUACUCUGUAUACUAAAGUGCUCAUAACACUCAAAUCAUCCAUUUGCAGCCUUCAAACUGUCUUGUCAAGUUCUCAUGCAUGCUCAAACGACUAGAAUGUAGCCCGCUCGAAGCUUCUGCUUGCCAAAAGUGCAGAGGGGAGUUAUACUGUGAUAUUUUCUGGAGCAUCGUUUACCUAAUUGAAGUACUGUAUACAAUAUUUCCUUGUGAUCUGACUUAAAACGUUGUUCCUUAAAACUCUAUUAUGCGAGGUAAAAAUCGAAGACUUUUGUCAUGUACAGUAUGUGUCAGCCACAUAUGAUGGAACGAGGAAUGUAACAAGAAAAGGCUAUAAGUGUUGUAUAUCAAGAACAGUUGUUGAAUGUUUCGAAAAGUGGUAUGUUUUGGUCACAUGUAUCUUUUCCUUAAGACAAAUUAAAUAGCUGUGAGUAAUUGCCUAAUAAUGCCUUACGUAGACGACGUUCGUAGCAAAAAGAUCGCGAAAUUACCACAAUACGAAAUAACAUCAGAAGUGACAAUCUGUCACGAGCUUUGUGCCUUUCGAUAAAAUAGCGUCCACGCUUAUGUGAAAAAAUGUCACCUUUUCUGUGGAUUUCCAAGUUGUAACGCGGUGCAUUUUUCUUGAAAAAAGAAAAAAAGUGUACUUUGACUUAGGCACAGGGGUAGGUGUUUCUCAAACCAGUCUAUACCUUCUGGUUGACACAUAGACCCUAUAUAAGAAGUGAAAAACUUUGCUUUGUUACCCCUAAGUUAUUUAUUAGCAGCAUUGGGGGAAAACGGGUAGGCAGAUUAACAAGGCUCAUCAGCUGCUGUUCGCGUAGAACGCUUCGCCUGUUUUAAUACCGUGGUUCACAUUAGCUGGGACACCCUGUAUACAAACAUUUCUCAGUUUACUGUUCAACCCACCCUUUUUCUAUUUUCUCUUCUGAGAGAGACGAGAGAAGUUUGUGAAUGUGUUUGUGAAGCGAGAAUAGGUGGAACCUUGCACCUCCACUGAGUUUCAGAGGUUUUUCCAACAGUGGGGUGUUUAUGUACUCUCGUUUGUAGUACGUGUUGUGUACAAGGCCAUGUGCGCUUAGGAAAUAAAUAUAUUUUACUGAAAUUCCAAAGCAGUAGUUUCAGUGCUCUUCGCCAUUCUGAGCCACGGCAGUGGGCGGGUAGCGGGAGGAGGA
This is an RNA transcript of Ornithodoros turicata, 2489 nucleotides long. RefSeq lists it as uncharacterized. The transcript has 7 exons. The record is from RefSeq and is a predicted model, not a curated record. Lineage: Eukaryota; Metazoa; Arthropoda; Arachnida; Ixodida; Argasidae.